RNAcentral lists this ribosomal RNA (463 nucleotides) under Vreelandella stevensii. RNAcentral describes it as "partial 16S ribosomal RNA". It matches the Rfam family "Bacterial small subunit ribosomal RNA", at positions 338 to 794 of the family's 1533-position model. Lineage: Bacteria; Pseudomonadati; Pseudomonadota; Gammaproteobacteria; Oceanospirillales; Halomonadaceae. The record is from RNAcentral.
CCUACGGGCGGCUGCAGUGGGGAAUAUUGGACAAUGGGCGAAAGCCUGAUCCAGCCAUGCCGCGUGUGUGAAGAAGGCCUUCGGGUUGUAAAGCACUUUCAGUGGGGAAGAAAGCCUUGGGGCUAAUACCCUCGAGGAAGGACAUCACCCACAGAAGAAGCACCGGCUAACUCCGUGCCAGCAGCCGCGGUAAUACGGAGGGUGCGAGCGUUAAUCGGAAUUACUGGGCGUAAAGCGCGCGUAGGCGGUCUGAUAAGCCGGUUGUGAAAGCCCCGGGCUCAACCUGGGAACGGCAUCCGGAACUGUCAGGCUAGAGUGCAGGAGAGGAAGGUAGAAUUCCCGGUGUAGCGGUGAAAUGCGUAGAGAUCGGGAGGAAUACCAGUGGCGAAGGCGGCCUUCUGGACUGACACUGACGCUGAGGUGCGAAAGCGUGGGUAGCAAACAGGAUUAGAUACCCUGUAUC